AUGGGCGAGGAGGCCCCGGCCGCGGUCACCGCGGCGGCGGCGACGUCGCCGGCGCCCCACUUGCUCCUCAUAUGCUUCCCGGGGCAGGGCCACGUCAACCCCAUGCUCCGCCUCGCCAAGCGCUUCGCGGCCAAGGGUCUCCUGGUCACCUUCUCCUCGACCUCCUACGUUGGAGGCAAGAUCACGGCCUCCUCCGGGGUGGAGGCUGGCGGCGACGGCGUGCCGCUCGGCCACGGAACGAUCCGGUUCGAGUUCUUGGACGACGAUUUCGACGGGAACGACCUCGACGACCUGAUGAGGCACCUGGAGACGACCGGCCCGGUGGUGUUCGCGGAGCUGCUGAGGCGCCAGGACGAGGCGGGACGCCCUGUGACGUGCGUCGUCGGGAACCCGUUCCUCCCGUGGGCUAUCGACGUCGCCCACGACGCCGGCAUCCCCACGGCGGUGCUGUGGGUGCAGUCGUGCGCCGUGUUCUCGCUCUACUACCACCACGUGCACGGGCUCGUGGAGUUCCCGCCCGAGGACGACCUCGACGCCCGGGUCAACCUCCCGGGCCUCCCGGCGCUGUCCGUCGCCGACGUGCCGUCGUUCCUGCUGCCGUCGAACCCCUACAAGCUCCUCACCGACGCGAUACUGAAGCAGUUCCGUACCAUCCACAAGGCGUCGUGGGUGUUCGUCAACUCCUUCUAUGAGCUGGAGCCCGACGUGGUGGACGCGCUCCCGGGCAUCUCGCCGCCGCCGCCGCCACUCAUCCCCGUGGGACCGCUCGUGGAGCUGGAGGAGGAGGGCGCCGUGCGCGGCGACAUGAUCAAGGCGGCGGACGACUGCGUGGGGUGGCUGGACGCGCAGGCGCCGCGCUCCGUCGUGUACGCGUCGCUCGGCAGCGUCGUGGUGCUGUCCGCCGAGGAGCUGGCCGAGAUGGCGCACGGGCUCGCGUCCACCGGCCGCCCCUUCCUGUGGGUGGUUCGGCCGGACUGCAGCGCGAUGCUCCCGGAAGGGUACCUGGACUCCGUCGCCGGGCGCGGCAUGGUGGUGCCGUGGAGCCCGCAGGACCUGGUGCUCGCGCACCCGUCCACGGCGUGCUUCCUCACGCACUGCGGCUGGAACUCCACGCUGGAGACGCUCGCGGCUGGGCUUCCCGUGGUGGCGUUCCCGCAGUGGGGCGACCAGUGCACGGACGCCAAGUACCUUGUGGAGGAGUUCAAGAUGGGGGUGCGCAUCGGCACGCCGCUGCGGAGGGACGCCGUGCGCGACGCCGUGGAGGACGUCGUGGCCGGGCCGGACGCCGGCGCGAUGUUCGAGAAGGCCAGAGCGUGGAGCGCGGCGGCGAGGACGGCCGUGGCGGCCGGCGGGUCGUCGGACCGCCACGUACAGGCGUUUGUUGACCAGGUUGUGGCGGGAACCAUUGGCGCACGAGCAGAUAAGGCCCUUGUGGCUGCGGAGCAGCAAGGUUUCGAUUCAUCUUCUCUACGUGGAAACUAA
This 1482-nucleotide ribosomal RNA is filed under the name Triticum aestivum (bread wheat). RNAcentral describes it as "partial small subunit ribosomal RNA". Lineage: Eukaryota; Viridiplantae; Streptophyta; Magnoliopsida; Poales; Poaceae. The record is from RNAcentral.